GAGUUGAGCGUGUGUGUGUGUGUGUGUGUCGCUUCAAACGCACAUCCUGCCCGAAAGGACACAACCCGAA
This 70-nucleotide microRNA precursor is filed under the name Anopheles gambiae str. PEST. RNAcentral describes it as "partial AGAP013567-RA". Lineage: Eukaryota; Metazoa; Arthropoda; Insecta; Diptera; Culicidae. The record is from RNAcentral.